GGAAGUAAAAGUUGUAACAAGGUUUCCGUAGGUGAACCUGCGGAAGGAUCAUUAUUGUAUAACCGAGGUGCGAGGGCUGUCGCUGACCCGAAAGGUCGUGCACGCCCGAGUGCCCUCACACACAUCCAUCUCACCCCUAUGUGCACCACCGCGUGGGUCCCCCUUUGGCUUGUUCGGAGGGGGGCUUACGUUUUCACACAAACUUUGUAUGCAGUGUAGAAUUUAUUUUUUGUUUUUGCGAUCACGCAAUCAAUACAACUUUCAACAACGGAUCUCUUGGCUCUC
This 285-nucleotide unclassified non-coding RNA is filed under the name plant metagenome. Its description in RNAcentral is "partial contains small subunit ribosomal RNA, internal transcribed spacer 1, and 5.8S ribosomal RNA". The stretch from base 1 to 54 matches the Rfam family "Eukaryotic small subunit ribosomal RNA", at positions 1778 to 1831 of the family's 1831-position model. The record is from RNAcentral.